UCUUUGUUAGUAUACUGGUGACUAUCUCCGCCUGUCACGCGGGAGACCGGGGUUCAAUUCCCCAACGGGGAG
Molecule: transfer RNA, 72 nt
Filed under: Monodelphis domestica (gray short-tailed opossum)
Lineage: Eukaryota; Metazoa; Chordata; Mammalia; Didelphimorphia; Didelphidae
Rfam family: tRNA
About the family: Transfer RNA (tRNA) molecules are approximately 80 nucleotides in length. Their secondary structure includes four short double-helical elements and three loops (D, anti-codon, and T loops). Further hydrogen bonds mediate the characteristic L-shaped molecular structure. tRNAs have two regions of fundamental functional importance: the anti-codon, which is responsible for specific mRNA codon recognition, and the 3' end, to which the tRNAs corresponding amino acid is attached (by aminoacyl-tRNA synthetases). tRNAs cope with the degeneracy of the genetic code in two manners: having more than one tRNA (with a specific anti-codon) for a particular amino acid; and 'wobble' base-pairing, i.e. permitting non-standard base-pairing at the 3rd anti-codon position.
Source: Rfam by way of RNAcentral